AAUCAACGCUGGCGGCGUGCCUCAGACAUGCAAGUCGAACGCGAAAGUUCCCUUCGGGGGGCAAGUAGAGUGGCGCACGGGUGAGUAACACGUAGGUAAUCUACCUUUGGAUGGGGAAUAACCACCGGAAACGGUGGCUAAUACCGCAUAAUGCAGCGGCACCUAAUGGUGACAGUUGUUAAAGCGGGGGAUCGCAAGACCUCGCGUCUAAAGAGGAGCCUGCGGCGGAUUAGCUAGUUGGUAAGGUAACGGCUUACCAAGGCGAUGAUCCGUAGCCGGCCUGAGAGGGCGGUCGGCCACACUGACACUGACAUACGGGUCAGACUCCUACGGGAGGCAGCAGUCGGGAAUUUUGGGCAAUGGGCGAAAGCCUGACCCAGCAACGCCGCGUGAAGGAUGAAAUCCUUCGGGAUGUAAACUUCGCAAGAACGGGAAGAAUAAGCCGGUGUCAACACCACCGGCGAUGACGGUACUGUUUGUAAGCUCCGGCUAACUCCGUGCCAGCAGCCGCGGUAAUAC
RNAcentral lists this ribosomal RNA (519 nucleotides) under uncultured bacterium. RNAcentral's name for it is "bacterial SSU rRNA". It matches the Rfam family "Bacterial small subunit ribosomal RNA", at positions 32 to 526 of the family's 1533-position model. The record is from RNAcentral.